AAAGGAAUUGACGGGGGCCCGCACAAGCAGAGGAGCAUGUGGCUUAAUUCGAUGCAACGCGAAGAACCUUACCCGGGUUUGACAUAUAACUGCAACUCCCUGGAAACAGGGAUUCCUUCGAGGGUGUUAUACAGGUGCUGCAUGGCUGUCGUCAGUUCGUGCCGUGAGGUGUUUGGUUAAGUCCAGCAACGAACGCAACCCCUAUGUUUAGUUGCCAGCGGGUAAUGCCGGGAACUCUAAACAGACUGCCCGUUCACACGGGAGGAAGGUGGGGACGACGUCAAGUCAGUAUGGCCCUUACAUCCGGGGCUGCACACGUGCUACAAUGGCCGGUACAAUAGGAAGCUAAGCCGCAAGGUGGAGCCAAUCCCCAAAACCGGCCUCAGUUCGGAUUGCGGUCUGCAACUCGACCGCAUGAAGUUGGAUUUGCUAGUAACGGCGUAUCAGCUACGACGCCGUGAAUACGUUCCCGGGCCUUGUACACACCGCCCGU
Molecule: ribosomal RNA, 493 nt
Filed under: uncultured bacterium
Lineage: Bacteria
Description: bacterial SSU rRNA
Rfam family: Bacterial small subunit ribosomal RNA
Source: RNAcentral